GAUGAACGCUGGCGGCGUGCCUAAUACAUGCAAGUCGAGCGAACGGACGAGAAGCUUGCUCCUCUGAUGUUAGCGGCGGACGGGUGAGUAACACGUGGAUAACCUACCUAUAAGACUGGGAUAACUUCGGGAAACCGGAGCUAAUACCGGAUAAUAUUUUGAACCGCAUGGUUCAAAAGUGAAAGACGGUUUUGCUGUCACUUAUAGAUGGAUCCGCGCUGCAUUAGCUAGUUGGUAAGGUAACGGCUUACCAAGGCAACGAUGCAUAGCCGACCUGAGAGGGUGAUCGGCCACACUGGAACUGAGACACGGUCCAGACUCCUACGGGAGGCAGCAGUAGGGAAUCUUGCGCAAUGGGCGAAAGCCUGACGGAGCAACGCCGCGUGAGUGAUGAAGGUCUUCGGAUCGUAAAACUCUGUUAUUAGGGAAGAACAUAUGUGUAAGUAACUGUGCACAUCUUGACGGUACCUAAUCAGAAAGCCACGGCUAACUACGUG
Molecule: ribosomal RNA, 497 nt
Filed under: uncultured bacterium
Lineage: Bacteria
Description: partial 16S ribosomal RNA
Rfam family: Bacterial small subunit ribosomal RNA
Source: RNAcentral